UACGUAGGGUGCAAGCGUUAAUCGGAAUUACUGGGCGUAAAGAGUGCGUAGGCGGCUAUGUAAGACAGGUGUGAAAUCCCUGGGCUUAACCUAGGAACUGCAUUUGUGACUGCAUGGCUAGAGUGUGGUAGAGGGAGAUGGAAUUCCGCAUGUAGCAGUGAAAUGCGCAGAUAUCAGGAGGAACACCGAUGGCGAAGGCAGGUCUCUGGGCCACUACUGACGCUGAGAAGCGAAAGCAUGAGGAGCGAACAGG
RNAcentral lists this ribosomal RNA (253 nucleotides) under uncultured bacterium. RNAcentral's name for it is "partial 16S ribosomal RNA". It matches the Rfam family "Bacterial small subunit ribosomal RNA", at positions 524 to 776 of the family's 1533-position model. The record is from RNAcentral.